CGAUUUUGGUACCGGGUACUCAGGUUUUGAAUCCCUGUGCGAACUGCCGUUCGAUGCGGUAAAAAUUGAC
This 70-nucleotide transfer RNA is filed under the name Vibrio aquimaris. RNAcentral describes it as "Vibrio sp. THAF100 tRNA-Ser". Lineage: Bacteria; Pseudomonadati; Pseudomonadota; Gammaproteobacteria; Vibrionales; Vibrionaceae. The record is from RNAcentral.